CCUACGGGUGGCAGCAGUCGAGAAUCAUUCACAAUGGGGGAAACCCUGAUGGUGCGACGCCGCGUGGGGGAAUGAAGGUCUUCGGAUUGUAAACCCCUGUCAUGUGGGAGCAAAUUAAAAAGAUAGUACCACAAGAGGAAGAGACGGCUAACUCUGUGCCAGCAGCCGCGGUAAUACAGAGGUCUCAAGCGUUGUUCGGAAUCACUGGGCGUAAGGCGUGCGUAGGCUGUUUCGUAAGUCGUGUGUGAAAGGCGCGGGCUCAAGCCGCGGACGGCACAUGAUACUGCGAGACUAGAGUAAUGGAGGGGGAACCGGAAUUCUCGGUGUAGCAGUGAAAUGCGUAGAUAUCGAGAGGAACACUCGUGGCGAAGGCGGGUUCCUGGACAUUAACUGACGCUGAGGCACGAAGGCCAGGGGAGCGAAAGGGAUUAGAUACCCCAGUAGUC
RNAcentral lists this ribosomal RNA (446 nucleotides) under uncultured bacterium. RNAcentral's name for it is "partial 16S ribosomal RNA". It matches the Rfam family "Bacterial small subunit ribosomal RNA", at positions 338 to 795 of the family's 1533-position model. The record is from RNAcentral.